Molecule: ribosomal RNA, 253 nt
Filed under: uncultured bacterium
Lineage: Bacteria
Description: partial 16S ribosomal RNA
Rfam family: Bacterial small subunit ribosomal RNA
Source: RNAcentral
GACGAACCGUGCGAACGUUGUUCGGAAUCACUGGGCUUAAAGGGCGCGUAGGCGGGCAAGCAAGUCUGGGGUGAAAUCUUUCGGCCCAACCGGAAAAGGGCCUCGGAACCUGCUUGUCUGGAGGAAGGUAGGGGUGUGUGGAACUUCCGGUGGAGCGGUGAAAUGCGUAGAGAUCGGAAGGAACGCCGGUGGCGAAAGCGACGCACUGGACCUUUUCUGACGCUGAGGCGCGAAAGCCCGGGGAGCAAACGGG